GCCAGGUGUGGUGGUGCAUGCCUGUAAUCCCAGGGGCUUGGGAGGCUGAGGCAGGAGGAUCUCAAGUUUAAAGCCAGUCUCUACAUAAGCGAGGUGCUAAGCAACUCAGUGAGGCCCUGUCUCUA
This 125-nucleotide small RNA is filed under the name Marmota monax (woodchuck). The record is from RNAcentral. Lineage: Eukaryota; Metazoa; Chordata; Mammalia; Rodentia; Sciuridae.